GCUUCUGAAAUAAACUAUUGCAUUACUUUCAUGUUUCGCUUUGUUUGAAAUUACUUACCACUGGCGUAAAUCACUUUAUAUGUAAUUAGUUGCUUCUUACGUAAAUCACUUUAAAUGACUGAGUUUAAUACUUAAUUGUGAUUGCAUAACCAUUAUUAAAACGCUAUUUAACAAAUUUUUUUCUGAAAAUCAUUCAACGCUCGUUCAUUAUUUUUCGCGUCUAACUAAGGUGUAAACUAAAAAGAAAGUAAACAUUUUGACUGUAUGAAUUGACUGUGCAUUUAUAUUAAAAGUGUAAUAAAAAGUAAAUAAAUUAAAAAAAGAAAAGUUAUGCGGCUUGAAAGUGUUUCAACCAAACUUAUUCUCAUCUUCGGUUUAAUAAUAUUUGAGACAGUGAAUGCAGAGGUAAAAAAUAUAUUAACAAAUAUGCCAAUGUCUUGCUAUAAUAGCGUGUUUGAUGGACUGAUCUGGUUGAUUCCUACGUUUAAAAAAUUUCCAAAGAACUACUUGGACAGUAAUCAUAACGGUAAUGUUUAUAUGAGUGAAGGCAUGACUUCUAAUAAUUUCCAGAGAUGGGACAUUACUUACGUAGGACAACUUGCUUAUACAAUCCGGAAUAUAGCAACAAACCGUUGCUUAGAUAGUAAUUGGAACGGCAACGUGUAUACUCUUGCGUGUAAUGGUGGCAAUUUUCAGAAAUGGAUAAAAUCUAGUUGGCCAUCCAUUACAAAUCGGAUUUUGUUUCAAAAUAAAGCCACAUCACGAGUUUUAGAAUUAAAUGAUUGUCGAGUUAGCACAAGCUCAACGCGAACUCAGGAUACUGGCCAGUUGUGGAGUUUACAGAAUCCUAUUUAAACCUAAAUCCAAUUUUCAAAGACCUUAAAUAAUUAUAAUUUUGUAUGUAUUGGUGGAGGAGUGAAGAGUUUUCUUUGUGAUUUAUUUUCAGGAUAUAUUUAUUGUUUUUUUGUUGUUAUUUUGAUCUUGAUAUAUAAAAAUUUCAAAAAUA
Hydra vulgaris (swiftwater hydra) is the source of this 1006-nucleotide long non-coding RNA. RefSeq lists it as uncharacterized. Lineage: Eukaryota; Metazoa; Cnidaria; Hydrozoa; Anthoathecata; Hydridae. The record is from RefSeq and is a predicted model, not a curated record.